GCCAGGUGUGGUGGCGCAAACCUGUAAUCCCAGCUACUUGGGAGGCUGAGGCAGGAGAAUUGCUUGAACCCAGGAGGCGGAGGUUGCAGUGAGCUGGGAUCACACCACUGCACUCCAGCCUGGGCAACAGAGUGAUACUCUGUCUCAA
Molecule: unclassified non-coding RNA, 148 nt
Organism: Callithrix jacchus (white-tufted-ear marmoset)
Lineage: Eukaryota; Metazoa; Chordata; Mammalia; Primates; Cebidae
Rfam family: Metazoan signal recognition particle RNA
About the family: The signal recognition particle (SRP) is a universally conserved ribonucleoprotein.
Source: Ensembl